GAGCUAAUACAUGCCAAAAACCCCGACUCAGGAAGGGGUGUAUUUAUUAGAUAAAAAACCGACGCCCUUCGGGGCUCACCGGUGAUUCAUGAUAACUUCGCGAAUCGCAUGGCCUUGCGCCGGCGAUGGUUCAUUCAAAUUUCUGCCCUAUCAACUUUCGAUGGUAGGAUAGUGGCCUACCAUGGUGUCGACGGGUGACGGGGAAUUAGGGUUCGAUUCCGGAGAGGGAGCCUGAGAAACGGCUACCACAUCCAAGGAAGGCAGCAGGCGCGCAAAUUACCCAAUCCCGACACGGGGAGGUAGUGACAAUAAAUAUCGAUCCAGGGCCCUCAUGGGUCUUGGAAUUGAAAUGAGUACAAUUUAAAUCCCUUAACGAGGAACAAGUGAAGGGCAAGUCUGGUGCCAGCAGCCGCGGUAAUUCCAGCUUCACGAGCGUAUAUUAAAGUUGUUGCAGUUAAAAAGCUCGUAGUUGAACCUUGGGCCUGGCUGGCCGGUCCGCCUCACCGCGUGCACUGGUCCGGCCGGGCCUUUCCUUCUGGGGAUCCGCAUGCCCUUCGCUGGGCGUGUUUUGGGGAACCAGGACUUUUACUUUGAAAAAAUUAGAGUGUUCAAAGCAGGCCUUUGCUCGAAUACAUUAGCAUGGAAUAAUAGAAUAGGACGUGCGGUCCUAUUUUGUUGGUUUCUAGGACCGCCGUAAUGAUUAAUAGGGAUGGUCGGGGGCAUCGGUAUUCAGCUGUCAGAGGUGAAAUUCUUGGAUUUACUGAAGACCAACUACUGCGAAAGCAUUUGCCAAGGAUGUUUUCAUUAAUCAGUGAACGAAAGUUAGGGGAUCGAAGACGAUCAGAUACCGUCGUAGUCUUAACCAUAAACCAUGCCGACUAGGGAUCGGGCGAUGUUU
Molecule: ribosomal RNA, 898 nt
Filed under: Collemopsidium sp. s1472
Lineage: Eukaryota; Fungi; Ascomycota; Collemopsidiomycetes; Collemopsidiales; Xanthopyreniaceae
Description: SSU rRNA
Rfam family: Eukaryotic small subunit ribosomal RNA
Source: RNAcentral